Molecule: ribosomal RNA, 245 nt
Filed under: Acinetobacter baumannii
Lineage: Bacteria; Pseudomonadati; Pseudomonadota; Gammaproteobacteria; Moraxellales; Moraxellaceae
Description: partial 23S ribosomal RNA
Rfam family: Bacterial large subunit ribosomal RNA
Source: RNAcentral
AACCUCUGGUGUACCGGUUGUGACGCCAGUCGCAUCGCCGGGUAGCUAUGUUCGGAAGGGAUAACCGCUGAAAGCAUCUAAGCGGGAAGCCUACCUCAAGAUAAGAUUUCCCUAGGACUUUAUGUCCUCUAAAGAGCCGUUCGAGACUAGGACGUUGAUAGGUUGGAUGUGGAAGCAUAGUGAUAUGUGAAGCUGACCAAUACUAAUUGCUCGUGAGGCUUGACUAUACAACACCCAAGCAGUUG